GACGAACGCUGGCGGCGUGCUUAACACAUGCAAGUCGAACGCUGAAGACCUGGCUUUUGUUGGGUUGGAUGAGUGGCGAACGGGUGAGUAACACGUGAGUAACCUGCCCUCUUCUUUGGGAUAACGCCCGGAAACGGGUGCUAAUACUGGAUAUUCACUGAUCUUCGCAUGGGGGUUGGUGGAAAGGUUUGUUCUGGUGGGGGAUGGGCUCGCGGCCUAUCCGCUUGUUGGUGGGGUGAUGGGCUACCAAGGCUUUGACGGGUAGCCGGCCUGAGAGGGUGACCGGUCACAUUGGCACUGGGAUACGGCCCAGACUCCUACGGGAGGCAGCAGUGGGGAAUAUGGCACAAUGGGCGAAAGACUGAUGCAGCGACGCCGCGUGAGGGAUGGAGGCCUUCGGGUUGUAAACCUCUUUCGCUCAUGGUCAAGCCGCAACUGUGGGUUGUGGUGACGGUAGUGGGUAAAGAAGCGCCGGCUAACUACGUG
This 486-nucleotide ribosomal RNA is filed under the name uncultured bacterium. RNAcentral describes it as "partial 16S ribosomal RNA". It matches the Rfam family "Bacterial small subunit ribosomal RNA", at positions 28 to 507 of the family's 1533-position model. The record is from RNAcentral.